AUACGGAGGGUGCAAGCGUUACUCGGAAUCACUGGGCGUAAAGCGCGCGCAGGCGGUCUUUUAAGUUGGAUGUGAAAGCCUACAGCUCAACUGUAGAACUGCAUCCAAAACUAUUAGACUAGAGUCUGGGAGGGGAAGAUGGAAUUAGUUGUGUAGGGGUAAAAUCCGUAGAGAUAACUAGGAAUACCAAAAGCGAAGGCGAUCUUCUGGAACAGUACUGACGCUGAGGCGCGAAAGCGUGGGGAGCAAACAGCAUUAGAAACCCCAGUAGUCC
This 274-nucleotide ribosomal RNA is filed under the name uncultured bacterium. RNAcentral describes it as "partial 16S ribosomal RNA". It matches the Rfam family "Bacterial small subunit ribosomal RNA", at positions 523 to 796 of the family's 1533-position model. The record is from RNAcentral.